AUUGAACGCUGGCGGCAUGCCUUACACAUGCAAGUCGGACGGCAGCGCGGGGGCAACCCUGGCGGCGAGUGGCGAACGGGUGAGUAAUACAUCGGAACGUGUCCUGGAGUGGGGGAUAGCCCGGCGAAAGCCGGAUUAAUACCGCAUACGCUCUGUGGAGGAAAGCGGGGGAUCUUCGGACCUCGCGCUCAAGGGGCGGCCGAUGGCAGAUUAGCUAUUGUGGGGUAAAGGCCUACCAAGGCGACGAUCUGUAGCUGGUCUGAGAGGACGACCAGCC
Molecule: ribosomal RNA, 277 nt
Filed under: Burkholderia sp. Amy-6
Lineage: Bacteria; Pseudomonadati; Pseudomonadota; Betaproteobacteria; Burkholderiales; Burkholderiaceae
Also listed under: 1 other name
Description: partial 16S rRNA
Rfam family: Bacterial small subunit ribosomal RNA
Source: RNAcentral